Long non-coding RNA from Canis lupus familiaris (dog), 1695 nucleotides. RefSeq lists it as uncharacterized. The record is from RefSeq and is a predicted model, not a curated record. The transcript has 6 exons. Lineage: Eukaryota; Metazoa; Chordata; Mammalia; Carnivora; Canidae.
GCGGGCGGCGGGCGGCGGGCCCUUCUCCGGCUGCUGUUCCAGGCAGUGCCGGUUGGGGCUGAUGGCUGGCAGCGGAGCCCCGGCCGCGUGACACUGCGGAUUCCCCGAGCCCGGCCGAGGAGCGGCAGGGCAGCCGCAGCGGUGCUCCCUUCGCCUCCUCCCCGUCUUUGUUUUCUUCCCUCGUCACGCAAUUUCCCCUGGGGGUUCGCAAAACACCCCCCCCCCAAACAAAAAAAAAACAACAAAAAGCCAACCCACGGGUUCAUCUUAAAAGGUGUUCUGGAGGCUUAAAGAACCCCCCUCACCCUCGCCCUCCUCGUUCAGGUGGAACCGACCACUUUUCACCUGUUGGUGGCUAAAGUGUCUCCAAGGACGCGGUUGUCGGAAACAGAGCUUGGAUUCCCUUGAAACGAGGGAACUGGGAUCAACCCAGCUGGUCCUCUGAGGGAAUGUCUGACCGUGGGGCAGUCAGGUUGGCCAGAGUAUGCACUUCUUCCCACAUAGUGUGCCCUCAGUAAAGCCAGGCAGUGGGACCUCAAGGUCAGAGGGUGGACUCUGGAUCUAGAGUCUUUGAGUUCCAGUGUUCCCAUUUACCAGCUACAUCACUUUGGGCAAGUGGUAUGUUUUGAACCUGACCUUGGAUAUUAGCUUACUUGAUGCAUGGUAAUACAUACUGUCCUUGGGUACUGAUGCUGACGGAUCCUGCCUACCUCCAAUGCAAGCUCCCGGGUGUAAAUGAGACAAGAGUCUGCAGUUGGUGGCUCCCCUGGCUCUCCGGAGAGGAUCCCUAGUUUCAUGCAGGCUGUUGAAAAUGGUUACAAGUUUGUGUGAUUUACAUACGUGUACAGUGAAGUAUUUGGAAGAGAUGGACUUUGGCCAGUCGAUGGAAUUUUAUUUGAUCUUCUCAUCAAAUGACUUUAAAAAUGAAAUGAAAAGUUCCAGCUUUCAUUUUUUAAUUCUUUUGGCAAGAUAUGAUGAAAAUAAAUCCAAGAAGAGUAGGAAGAUGUCAUGUGAAAUGCCAAGAAAAUGGAUUAACAAAAAAAAAUCAUCUGUUUUAAGGUGGAGCAGUUCAAAUAUUAAGAAAAAGAUCUCUUUCUUUUGGCAAGAGAGACAUUUUGGUGGUUUUAUUUCUUGGAUAAAGAAUGGGUCAUUCCUUAUUUAAAUUAAUGGAUACAGCCAGCAAUUCACAUGAACCUCUGACCCACCUGUCUAGAGAGAGAAUGGUAAACCAACAAGGAUACAAAAAAACAAAAUUAAUCCCAAGAAGGAAAUAUUUGGUCUAAAAGCCCACAAGAACUUUGUGGGUGUCUGAGACACCACAGCAUGGUGAGGCGACUGUUUUGCAAUUAAGAAAAUAUGAAACUUUUAUGCGAAACCAACUCGCAAAAGCUCUAGCUCUUCCGUUUUUAGGUGUGAGGCCAAGUUACAUCUGCAUAGGACUCCGUCUGCGUGAUGAGUAAUGUUGAAUGUGGCGGCUUUUUUUAACUGUAGAAUAAACACAGUCUUCACACAGGAUCUUAUUUUAAAAAUUGCAUGUCUCUUUUACUCCCUAGGUUUUAUGAAAUCAUCUCUUACUCCUACCUACAAAAUUCUAAGGUCCUCCUAGAAUAGAAUUACUUUUUGGUGACAUGUAAAAAAAGUCAUAUGAAAUUCAGAUUUCAGUGUCCAUAAAUAAACUUUAAUGGAGCGCAGCCA